Molecule: non-coding RNA, 73 nt
Organism: Kosmotoga pacifica
Lineage: Bacteria; Thermotogati; Thermotogota; Thermotogae; Kosmotogales; Kosmotogaceae
Source: Rfam
GGGGUCGUAGCGCAGCUGGGAGCGCGUCACAAUGGCAUUGUGAAGGCCGAGGGUUCGAAUCCCUUCGACUCCA